GACGAACGCUGGCGGCGUGCUUAACACAUGCAAGUCGAGCGGGGAGUUGGACUUCGGUUCAACUUCUAGCGGCGGACGGGUGAGUAACGCGUGAGCAACCUUUCCUUCACUGGGGAAUAACACCGGGAAACUGGUACUAAUACCGCAUGAGACCACAGCAUCGCAUGGUGCAGGGGUCAAAGAUUUAUUGGUGAAGGGUGGGCUCGCGUCUGAUUAGGUAGUUGGUGAGGUAACGGCCCACCAAGCCGACGAUCAGUAGCCGACCUGAGAGGGUGACCGGCCACAUUGGGACUGAGACACGGCCCAA
RNAcentral lists this ribosomal RNA (307 nucleotides) under uncultured bacterium. RNAcentral's name for it is "bacterial SSU rRNA". It matches the Rfam family "Bacterial small subunit ribosomal RNA", at positions 28 to 334 of the family's 1533-position model. The record is from RNAcentral.